Molecule: ribosomal RNA, 751 nt
Filed under: uncultured bacterium
Lineage: Bacteria
Description: bacterial SSU rRNA
Rfam family: Bacterial small subunit ribosomal RNA
Source: RNAcentral
AGCAUGACGCCGUGGGAGGACAUCCUCCCGCGGCCAAAGGGGCGACCCGGUCACGGAUGGGCAUGCGGCGCAUUAGGUAGUUGGUGGGGCAACGGCCCACCAAGCCGACGAUGCGUAGGGGUUCUGAGAGGAAGGUCCCCCACAUUGGAACUGAGACACGGUCCAAACUCCUACGGGAGGCAGCAGUGAGGAAUAUUGGUCAAUGGCCGGAAGGCUGAACCAGCCAAGUCGCGUGAGGGAAUGAGGCCCUACGGGUCGUGAACCUCUUUUGCCGGGGAGCAAGGCCCUCCACGUGUGGAGGGAAGGAGAGUACCCGGAGAAAAAGCAUCGGCUAACUCCGUGCCAGCAGCCGCGGUAACACGGAGGAUGCGAGCGUUAUCCGGAUUUAUUGGGUUUAAAGGGUGCGUAGGCGGCGUUCCAAGUCAGCGGUAAAAUUGCGGGGCUCAACCCCGUAGAGCCGUUGAAACUGGCGCGCUCGAGUGGGCGAGAAGUAUGCGGAAUGCGUGGUGUAGCGGUGAAAUGCAUAGAUAUCACGCAGAACCCCGAUUGCGAAGGCAGCAUACCGGCGCCCCACUGACGCUGAGGCACGAAAGUGCGGGGAUCAAACAGGAUUAGAUACCCUGGUAGUCCGCACAGUAAACGAUGAAUGCUAGCUGUCCGGGGGGACUGACCCCUGGGUGGCACAGCGAAAGCGUUAAGCAUUCCACCUGGGGAGUACGCCGGCAACGGUGAAACUCAAAGGAAUUGACGG